CAGCAGCCGCGGGAAUACGUAGGUGGCAAGCGUUGUCCGGAAUUACUGGGCGUAAAGGGCGCGUAGGCGGCCAUUCAAGUUAGAUGUGAAAGCCCUGGGCUCAACCUAGGAAUUGCAUUUGAUACUGUUUGGCUUGAGUUCGGGAGAGGUGAGUGGAAUUCCCAGUGUAGAGGUGAAAUUCGUAGAUAUUGGGAAGAACACCAGUGGCGAAGGCGGCUCACUGGACCGACACUGACGCUGAGGCGCGAAAGCGUGGGGAGCAAACAGGAUUAGAUACCCCCGUAGUCCCUGUCUCUUAUAC
This 301-nucleotide ribosomal RNA is filed under the name uncultured bacterium. RNAcentral's name for it is "partial 16S ribosomal RNA". It matches the Rfam family "Bacterial small subunit ribosomal RNA", at positions 509 to 807 of the family's 1533-position model. The record is from RNAcentral.